RNAcentral lists this ribosomal RNA (1528 nucleotides) under Klebsiella pneumoniae. RNAcentral describes it as "bacterial SSU rRNA". It matches the Rfam family "Bacterial small subunit ribosomal RNA". Lineage: Bacteria; Pseudomonadati; Pseudomonadota; Gammaproteobacteria; Enterobacterales; Enterobacteriaceae. The record is from RNAcentral.
AGAGUUUGAUCAUGGCUCAGAUUGAACGCUGGCGGCAGGCCUAACACAUGCAAGUCGAGCGGUAGCACAGAGAGCUUGCUCUCGGGUGACGAGCGGCGGACGGGUGAGUAAUGUCUGGGAAACUGCCUGAUGGAGGGGGAUAACUACUGGAAACGGUAGCUAAUACCGCAUAAUGUCGCAAGACCAAAGUGGGGGACCUUCGGGCCUCAUGCCAUCAGAUGUGCCCAGAUGGGAUUAGCUAGUAGGUGGGGUAAUGGCUCACCUAGGCGACGAUCCCUAGCUGGUCUGAGAGGAUGACCAGCCACACUGGAACUGAGACACGGUCCAGACUCCUACGGGAGGCAGCAGUGGGGAAUAUUGCACAAUGGGCGCAAGCCUGAUGCAGCCAUGCCGCGUGUGUGAAGAAGGCCUUCGGGUUGUAAAGCACUUUCAGCGGGGAGGAAGGCGGUGAGGUUAAUAACCUCAUCGAUUGACGUUACCCGCAGAAGAAGCACCGGCUAACUCCGUGCCAGCAGCCGCGGUAAUACGGAGGGUGCAAGCGUUAAUCGGAAUUACUGGGCGUAAAGCGCACGCAGGCGGUCUGUCAAGUCGGAUGUGAAAUCCCCGGGCUUAACCUGGGAACUGCAUUCGAAACUGGCAGGCUAGAGUCUUGUAGAGGGGGGUAGAAUUCCAGGUGUAGCGGUGAAAUGCGUAGAGAUCUGGAGGAAUACCGGUGGCGAAGGCGGCCCCCUGGACAAAGACUGACGCUCAGGUGCGAAAGCGUGGGGAGCAAACAGGAUUAGAUACCCUGGUAGUCCACGCCGUAAACGAUGUCGAUUUGGAGGUUGUGCCCUUGAGGCGUGGCUUCCGGAGCUAACGCGUUAAAUCGACCGCCUGGGGAGUACGGCCGCAAGGUUAAAACUCAAAUGAAUUGACGGGGGCCCGCACAAGCGGUGGAGCAUGUGGUUUAAUUCGAUGCAACGCGAAGAACCUUACCUGGUCUUGACAUCCACAGAACUUUCCAGAGAUGGAUUGGUGCCUUCGGGAACUGUGAGACAGGUGCUGCAUGGCUGUCGUCAGCUCGUGUUGUGAAAUGUUGGGUUAAGUCCCGCAACGAGCGCAACCCUUAUCCUUUGUUGCCAGCGGUCCGGCCGGGAACUCAAAGGAGACUGCCAGUGAUAAACUGGAGGAAGGUGGGGAUGACGUCAAGUCAUCAUGGCCCUUACGACCAGGGCUACACACGUGCUACAAUGGCAUAUACAAAGAGAAGCGACCUCGCGAGAGCAAGCGGACCUCAUAAAGUAUGUCGUAGUCCGGAUUGGAGUCUGCAACUCGACUCCAUGAAGUCGGAAUCGCUAGUAAUCGUAGAUCAGAAUGCUACGGUGAAUACGUUCCCGGGCCUUGUACACACCGCCCGUCACACCAUGGGAGUGGGUUGCAAAAGAAGUAGGUAGCUUAACCUUCGGGAGGGCGCUUACCACUUUGUGAUUCAUGACUGGGGUGAAGUCGUAACAAGGUAACCGUAGGGGAACCUGCGGUUGGAUCACCU